AGAGUUUGAUCCUGGCUCAGAAUCAACGCUGGCGGCGUGCCUCAGACAUGCAAGUCGAACGCGAAAGUUCCCUUCGGGGAGCGAGUAGAGUGGCGUCCGGGUGAGUAACACGUAGGUAAUCUACCUUUGGGUGGGGAAUAACAACCGGAAACGGUUGCUAAUACCGCAUAAUGCAGCGGCACCGCAUGGUGACAGUUGUUAAAGCGGGGGAUCGCAAGACCUCGCGCCUAAAGAGGAGCCUGUGGCGGAUUAGCUAGUUGGCAGGGUAACGGCCUACCAAGGCAACGAUCCGUAGCCGGCCUGAGAGGGCGGUCGGCCACACUGACACUGAAAUACGGGUCAGACUCCUACGGGAGGCAGCAGUCGGGAAUUUUGGGCAAUGGGCGCAAGCCUGACCCAGCAACGCCGCGUGAAGGAUGAAAUCCCUCGGGAUGUAAACUUCGCAAGAACGGGAAGAAUAAGUCUGUGCGAAUACCACAGAUGAUGACGGUACCGUUUGUAAGCUCCGGCUAACUCCGUGCCAGCAGCCGCGGUAAUACGGGGGGAGCAAGCGUUGUUCGGAUUUACUGGGCGUAAAGGGCGCGUAGGCGGCCAGUGCAAGUCAGUUGUGAAAUCUCCGGGCUUAACUCGGAAAGGUCAACUGAUACUGCUCGGCUAGAGUGCGGAAGGGGCAACUGGAAUUCUUGGUGUAGCGGUGAAAUGCGUAGAUAUCAAGAGGAACACCUGCGGCGAAGGCGGGUUGCUGGGCCGACACUGACGCUGAUGCGCGAAAGCUAGGGGAGCGAACGGGAUUAGAUACCCCGGUAGUCCUAGCCUUAAACGAUGAAUGCUUGGUGUCUGGGGUUAUAAAGUCCCCGGGUGCCGUCGCUAACGCUUUAAGCAUUCCGCCUGGGGAGUACGGUCGCAAGACUGAAACUCAAAGGAAUUGACCG
Molecule: ribosomal RNA, 932 nt
Filed under: uncultured bacterium
Lineage: Bacteria
Description: bacterial SSU rRNA
Rfam family: Bacterial small subunit ribosomal RNA
Source: RNAcentral